RNAcentral lists this transfer RNA (78 nucleotides) under Candidatus Thorarchaeota archaeon. RNAcentral's name for it is "tRNA-Gly". It matches the Rfam family "tRNA". From Rfam's summary of the family: Transfer RNA (tRNA) molecules are approximately 80 nucleotides in length. The record is from RNAcentral. RNAcentral also lists the same sequence under 1 other name. Lineage: Archaea; Promethearchaeati; Candidatus Thorarchaeota.
GCGGCCAUAGUCUAGCCUGGUCUAGGAUAGAACCCUUCCAAGGUUCUGAGCCGGGUUCAAAUCCCGGUGGCCGCACCA